GACGAACGCUGGCGGCGUGCCUAAUACAUGCAAGUUGAGCGCUGAAGGUUGGUACUUGUACCGACUGGAUGAGCAGCGAACGGGUGAGUAACGCGUGGGGAAUCUGCCUUUGAGCGGGGGACAACAUUGGGAAACGAAUGCUAAUACCGCAUAAAAACUUGAAACACAAGGUUUAAGUUUGAAAGAUGCAAUUGCAUCACUUAAAGAUGAUACCGCGUUGUAUUAGCUAGUUGGUAAGGUAAAGGCCUACCAAGGCGAUGAUACAUAGCCGACCUGAGAGGGGGACCGCCCACUUUGGACUGGGACCCCGCCCCAAACCCCUCGGGAAGCAGCCGUAGGGGAACUUCGGCCAUGGACGGAAGUCUGGACGAGCCACGCCGGGUGAGUGGAGAAGGUUUUCCGGUCCUUAAACUCCGUUGGUAGGGAAGAACGUUGGUGGGAGUGGAAAGCUCAUCAAGUGACGGUAACUACCCAGAAAGGGACGGCUAACUACGUG
This 496-nucleotide ribosomal RNA is filed under the name uncultured bacterium. RNAcentral's name for it is "partial 16S ribosomal RNA". It matches the Rfam family "Bacterial small subunit ribosomal RNA", at positions 28 to 507 of the family's 1533-position model. The record is from RNAcentral.